This 388-nucleotide ribosomal RNA is filed under the name Bryaninops ridens (Ridens goby). RNAcentral's name for it is "partial 12S ribosomal RNA". It matches the Rfam family "Bacterial small subunit ribosomal RNA", at positions 830 to 1384 of the family's 1533-position model. Lineage: Eukaryota; Metazoa; Chordata; Actinopteri; Gobiiformes; Gobiidae. The record is from RNAcentral.
GCCUAGCCUUAAACAGACAUCACCAAAUUACUAUGAUUUUCGCCAGGGUACUACGAGCUCUAGCUUAAAACCCAAAGGACUUGGCGGUGCUUUAGACCCCCCUAGAGGAGCCUGUUCUAGAACCGAUACUCCCCGUUCAACCUCACCCCCUCUUGUUCUUUCCCGCCUAUAUACCGCCGUCGUCAGCUUACCCUGUGAAGGUGGAAUAGUAAGCAAAACUGGCAAACCCCAGAACGUCAGGUCGAGGUGUAGCGUACGAGGGGGGAAGAAAUGGGCUACAUUUUCUGACCCAGAAAACACGGAUGAUAGCACUGAAAAAGCAUCUGAAGGUGGAUUUAGUAGUAAGGCGGGAACAUAGCGCCUACCUGAAAACGGCCCUGAAGCGCGC